AAAUUCUCUUCUUUUACUCUCCUCCUCUUUCUUCUCCAAUAUAUGGAAGAGUUCAUAUCAGUUUUCACUACAUGCCAAAGAGUAAGGCAUAUACGUUUCUUCAAGGUGAAAUGAGGAAUUAAAAGUUCUAGCAUUCAUUUUUCACUUUUCUUUUUUUUUUGGCCAAGAAUAGAGAUUUCAUUGAUAGAAUUAGAACAUUAAUGAAAAUAAAACUCGAAAAGUAAUAUACAUCAAUCUGCUUAUAAAUCUAUACUCUACUAAAAUUGAAGAAGCAAAAUAUGCAUAGGUAACAAAAUCCAAGAGACCUCUCACAAAGAUUUGGAGGGUAUAAAUACAGAUUUUUUUUUUUAAAUCUAUCUUUGCAUACGGAGAUAUUAUGGACGGGUGACGGGGUGAGAAUCGUAUUCAAAUCCGAGCACCGGACUAAAAGUUCUCUAUCAUCCAUAAAACUGGUGAUGUCAAAAAAGUUCAUGGUUGCUUCAGAAUCAACUUAUCUACCGGAUUGACUAAAGCAAAAGUCUUUAAAAUUUUGUGUAAAUAACUUUUCUCCUAAAUUGUAA
This 560-nucleotide unclassified non-coding RNA is filed under the name Hevea brasiliensis (rubber tree). Lineage: Eukaryota; Viridiplantae; Streptophyta; Magnoliopsida; Malpighiales; Euphorbiaceae. The record is from RNAcentral.